GAUGAACGCUGGCGGCGUGCCUAAUACAUGCAAGUCGAGCGAACAGACGAGGAGCUUGCUCCUCUGACGUUAGCGGCGGACGGGUGAGUAACACGUGGAUAACCUACCUAUAAGACUGGGAUAACUUCGGGAAACCGGAGCUAAUACCGGAUAAUAUAUUGAACCGCAUGGUUCAAUAGUGAAAGACGGUUUUGCUGUCACUUAUAGAUGGAUCCGCGCCGCAUUAGCUAGUUGGUAAGGUAACGGCUUACCAAGGCAACGAUGCGUAGCCGACCUGAGAGGGUGAUCGGCCACACUGGAACUGAGACACGGUCCAGACUCCUACGGGAGGCAGCAGUAGGGAAUCUUCCGCAAUGGACGAAAGCCUGACGGAGCAACGCCGCGUGAGUGAUGAAGGUCUUCGGAUCGUAAAGCUCUGUUAUUAGGGAAGAACAAAUGUGUAAGUAACUAUGCACGUCUUGACGGUACCUAAACAGAAAGCCACGGCUAACUACGUG
Molecule: ribosomal RNA, 497 nt
Filed under: uncultured bacterium
Lineage: Bacteria
Description: partial 16S ribosomal RNA
Rfam family: Bacterial small subunit ribosomal RNA
Source: RNAcentral